UACGUAGGGGGCUAGCGUUAUCCGGAAUUACUGGGCGUAAAGGGUGCGUAGGUGGUUUCUUAAGUCAGAGGUGAAAGGCUACGGCUCAACCGUAGUAAGCCUUUGAAACUGGAAGACUUGAGUUAAGGAGAGGAAAGUGGGAUUCCUAGUGUAGCGGUGAAAUGCGUAGAUAUUAGGAGGAAUACCAGUGGCGAAGGCGACUUUCUGGACUUAUACUGACGCUGAGGUACGAAAGCGUGGGGAGCAAACAGGAUUAGAUACCGCGUAGUCCCUGAGCGGGCUGGCAAGG
This 289-nucleotide ribosomal RNA is filed under the name uncultured prokaryote. RNAcentral's name for it is "partial 16S ribosomal RNA". It matches the Rfam family "Bacterial small subunit ribosomal RNA", at positions 524 to 820 of the family's 1533-position model. The record is from RNAcentral.